GAAAUGCGAUAAGUAAUGUGAAUUGCAGAAUUCAGUGAAUCAUCGAAUCUUUGAACGCACAUUGCGCCCGCCAGCACUCUGGCGGGCAUGCCUGUUCGAGCGUCAUUUCAACCCUCGACCUCCCCUUGGGGAGGCCGGCCGUUGGAGAUCGGCAGCGAUUGCCGGCUCCCAAAUUCAGUGGCGACCCGCCGCGGGGACCCCUGCGCAGUAACAUACACUCGCACCGGAAACCAGACGUGUCACGCCGUAAAACCCCAACUUUCUGAACGUUGACCUCGGAUCAGGUAGGAAUACCCGCUGAACUUAAGC
This 309-nucleotide unclassified non-coding RNA is filed under the name plant metagenome. Its description in RNAcentral is "partial contains 5.8S ribosomal RNA, internal transcribed spacer 2, and large subunit ribosomal RNA". The stretch from base 1 to 105 matches the Rfam family "5.8S ribosomal RNA", at positions 50 to 154 of the family's 154-position model. The record is from RNAcentral.